UACAGAGGGUGCAAGCGUUGUUCGGAAUUAUUGGGCGUGAAGGGCGCGUAGGCGGUGCGGUAAGUCACCUGUGAAACCUCUGGGCUUAACUCAGAGCCUGCAGGCGAAACUGCCGUGCUUGAGUGUGGGAGAGGUGCGUGGAAUUCCCGGUGUAGCGGUGAAAUGCGUAGAUAUCGGGAGAAACACCUGUGGCGAAAGCGGAGCACUGGACCACAACUGACGCUGAGGCGCGAAAGCUAGGGGAGCAAACAGG
RNAcentral lists this ribosomal RNA (253 nucleotides) under uncultured bacterium. RNAcentral describes it as "partial 16S ribosomal RNA". It matches the Rfam family "Bacterial small subunit ribosomal RNA", at positions 524 to 776 of the family's 1533-position model. The record is from RNAcentral.